RNAcentral lists this ribosomal RNA (324 nucleotides) under uncultured eukaryote. RNAcentral describes it as "partial 18S ribosomal RNA". It matches the Rfam family "Eukaryotic small subunit ribosomal RNA", at positions 1470 to 1796 of the family's 1831-position model. The record is from RNAcentral.
CCCUUAGAUGCUCUGGGCCGCACGCGCGCUACACUGGUCGAUGCAACGAGUUUCUUUCCUUGGCCGACAGGCCUGGGCAAUCUUUGAACAUCGAUCGUGAUCGGGAUAGAUUCUUGUAAUUUUUGAUCUUAAACGAGGAAUUCCUAGUAAACGCAAGUCAUCAGCUUGCAUUGAUUACGUCCCUGCCCUUUGUACACACCGCCCGUCGCACCUACCGAUUGAAUGGUCCGGUGAAAUCUCCGGACUGGCGUGAGUCGGAGCAAUCUGACAAACGCCGGAAAGUUGAUUAAACCUUACCAUUUAGAGGAGGGUGAAGUCGUAACA